CGGCUCAGUAACACGUGGAUAACCUACCCUUGAGACGGGGAUAAACCCGGGAAACUGGGUAUAAUACCCGAUAGAUCUCGACUGCUGGAAUGCAUCGAGCUUGAAAGCUCCGGCGCUCAAGGAUGGGUCUGCGGCCUAUCAGGUAGUAGUGGGUGUAGCGUACCCACUAGCCUACGACGGGUACGGGUUGUGAGAGCAAGAGCCCGGAGAUGGAUUCUGAGACACGAAUCCAGGCCCUACGGGGUGCAGCAGGCGCGAAAACUUUACAAUGCUGGAAACAGCGAUAAGGGGACCUCGAGUGCCAGGUUACAAAUCUGGCUGUCGUGAUGCCUAAAAAGCAUUGCAUAGCAAGGGCCGGGCAAGACCGGUGCCAGCCGCCGCGGUAACACCGGCGGCUCGAGUGGUAACCGUUAUUAUUGGGUCUAAAGGGUCUGUAGCCGGCCGGAUAAGUCUCUUGGGAAAUCUGGCAGCUUAACUGUCAGGCUUUCAGGAGAUACUGUCUGGCUCGAGGCCGGGAGAGGUGAGAGGUACUUCAGGGGUAGGGGUGAAAUCUUGUAAUCCUUGAAGGACCACCAGUGGCGAANGCGUCUCACCAGAACGGACCUGAC
RNAcentral lists this ribosomal RNA (608 nucleotides) under uncultured Methanosaeta sp. Its description in RNAcentral is "bacterial SSU rRNA". It matches the Rfam family "Archaeal small subunit ribosomal RNA", at positions 83 to 695 of the family's 1478-position model. Lineage: Archaea; Methanobacteriati; Methanobacteriota; Methanomicrobia; Methanotrichales; Methanotrichaceae. The record is from RNAcentral.